AUCAAACUAAGAAUGCCGGAUAAAUGAGUAUGGGAGUCAGACUACGUGAGAUAAGUCUCGUGGUCGAAAGGGAAACAGCCCAGACCUACAGCUAAGGUCCCAAAUAUAUGCUAAGUGGAAAAGGAUGUGGCAAUGCACAGACAACCAGGAUGUUGGCUUAGAAGCAGCCACACAUUCAAAGAGUGCGUAAUAGCUCACUGGUCGAGUGAUCCAGCGCCGAAAAUGUAACGGGGCUAAAACGCGACACCGAAGCAGCGGGAUGCGUAAGCAUCGGUAGAGGAGCAUUGUGUGAGGGUUGAAGCCAGAGCGGGAGCACUGGUGGACUUCACAGAAGAGAGAAUGCCGGUAUGAGUAGCGAGAGGCAUGCGAGAAACAUGCCCGUCGAAAGCCCAAGGUUUCCUGGGGAAGGUUCAUCCGCCCAGGGUAAGUCGGGGCCUAAGCCGAGGACGGAAGUCGUAGGCGAUGGACAGCAGGUGUAGAUUCCUGCACUACCGAUGGAAUGAAGCAGUGACACAGAAGGAUAACUCGAGCAGGGUGAUGGUCAACCCUGUGCAAGCAUCAAGGUUGGGUUGUAGUGAAGUACGCAAUCCUAUAAGCUGAGAUGUGAUGCGGACCGAAAUUUCAGUAGGGAAGCGAGUGAGUUCACGCUGGCGAGAAAAGCUGCUAAGGAGAGUGUGAGUGCCCGUACCGGAAACCGACGCAGGUGGGCGAGGAGAGAAUCCUGAGACGGACGGGAGAACUCUUGUUAAGGAACUCGGCAAAAUGACCCCGUAACUUCGGGAGAAGGGGUGCCUCGAAAGAGGCCGCAGAGAAUAGUCACAAGCGACUGUUUAGCAAAAACACAGGUAUCUGCGAAAGCGAGAGCUGACGUAUAGGUGCUGACGCCUGCCCGGUGCUGGAAGGUUAAGGGGAAGUGUUAGGGGAAACCCGAAGCAGAGAACCGAAGCCCCAGUAAACGGCGGCCGUAACUAUAACGGUCCUAAGGUAGCGAAAUUCCUUGUCGGGUAAGUUCCGACCCGCACGAAUGGCGUAACGACUUGUGAGCUGUCUCAACAGGAGGCCCGGUGAAAUUGAAGUAUGUGUGAAGAUGCACAUUACCCGCGACUGGACGGAAAGACCCCGUAGAGCUUUACUGUAACCUGACAUUGGAUCUUGAUAACGGAUGCACAGGAUAGGUGGGACGCUGGGAGACGAGGACUUUGGUUUUCGUGGAGCGGCCGUUGGGAUACCACUCUUCUGUUAUUGAGAUUCUAACCUCAAGCCGUGAGCCGGAUGAGAGACAGUGUCAGGCGGACAGUUUGACUGGGGCGGUCGCCUCCGAAAGAGUAACGGAGGCGCCCAAAGGUACCCUCAGAAUGGAUGGAAACCAUUCGAAGAGAGCAAAGUCAGAAGGGUGCUUGACUGCGAGACCAACAAGUCGAGCAGGUACGAAAGUAGGGCUUAGUGAUCCGGCGGUAAGAGAGUGGAAUUGCCGUCGCUCAACGGAUAAAAGCUACCUCGGGGAUAACAGGCUGAUCUCCCCCAAGAGUCCACAUCGACGGGGAGGUUUGGCAC
Molecule: ribosomal RNA, 1554 nt
Filed under: human gut metagenome
Description: bacterial LSU rRNA
Rfam family: Bacterial large subunit ribosomal RNA
Source: RNAcentral